AAUUCCUAUGGGAUUGACAAUGGCUUAAACUGGAACAAAUAAGGGGUUUGACUCCCCUAGCUUCUGAAGCUAGUCAACACUUUUUUUG
This 88-nucleotide small RNA is filed under the name Yarrowia lipolytica. Its description in RNAcentral is "YALI1_E17523p". Lineage: Eukaryota; Fungi; Ascomycota; Dipodascomycetes; Dipodascales. The record is from RNAcentral.